This 657-nucleotide ribosomal RNA is filed under the name uncultured Prochlorococcus sp. RNAcentral describes it as "eukaryotic LSU rRNA". The record is from RNAcentral. Lineage: Bacteria; Bacillati; Cyanobacteriota; Cyanophyceae; Synechococcales; Prochlorococcaceae.
AACAUCGAACUGGUUAUUGAAGUUAUUAACUUCGUAGUCGAAUUAUCUUAACAAUAAAUUACGUAAGCGUGUUUAUUAUUUAGACGUAGUAAUUUCUACGAAUAACAGAAGUUUUUAUUAGAUACGUCAACAGUUCCAAGAGACUUUUGUUACUUUUUUUUAAGUUACUCAGGUCGUAGAAUAAAUUACUUAUUUUAUCCUUCGAUCUAAGCGAGUCUCGUUUAAUCCUGUGCUGAGUUUUGUUAAAGGGAGAAAUUUAUAUACAUUCUCCACCAUAAGUCACCUCCAUUCGCCUGAGCUUGGCGACCGUAGGACGAACGUUUCGUCCGCGAGAUGGUUGACUCGAUAUGGGGGUUGUAUCUCUAUACCCGGUAGGACCUGAACUUGGUCCCUGGAGUGGGAAUAGUCCCCACGCGAGAUUGGUGGACUCGAUUACCGGGUCCUUUUUCACUACCCACACUGGAUCUUUUUUGAAUCUUUGACUUUAAGAAUUUUUUUAUUCUUAGACUCUAUGGCUAGCUGGAUUCCACUGUUUUAAUUAUAAAUGUAAAACAACAGAGGGACAAUCCUCCACUAGGUCGGCGUGGAAGGCCAUGCCGAUGGAACAAUGCUGAAGUGGGGUCAGUAAUCGGGGUGGAAGCCGCAGGAGGAGGUGUU